UACAGAGGGUGCAAGCGUUAAUCGGAAUUACUGGGCGUAAAGGGCGCGUAGGCGGUUUAGUAAGUUAUGUGUGAAAACUCUGGGCUUAACCUGGGACGUGCACAUAAUACUGAUAAACUAGAGUAGAGUAGAGGAAAGUGGAAUUUCCGGUGUAGCGGUGAAAUGCGUAGAUAUCGGAAGGAACACCAGUGGCGAAGGCGACUACCUGGACUGAUACUGACACUGAGGUGCGAAAGCGUGGGGAGCAAACAGGAUUAGAAACCCCGGUAGU
This 271-nucleotide ribosomal RNA is filed under the name uncultured bacterium. RNAcentral's name for it is "partial 16S ribosomal RNA". It matches the Rfam family "Bacterial small subunit ribosomal RNA", at positions 524 to 794 of the family's 1533-position model. The record is from RNAcentral.